AGAGAGAGACAUGCGCGCAUAUCAAUAAGCGGAGGAAAAGAAACUAACAAGGAUUCCCUUAGUAACGGCGAGUGAAGCGGGAAGAGCUCAAAUUUGAAAUCUUCAAGGUUUUACCUUGACGAAUUGUAGUUUAAAGAAGUGUUUUCUGCUGAAGUUUUGGUAAAAGUUCUUUGGAAUAGGACAUCAUAGAGGGUGAGAAUCCCGUAUUUGACCAUUAUUUUCAGCUUUGUGAUACACUUUCAAAGAGUCGGAUUGUUUGGGAAUGCAGUCCAAAAUGGGUGGUAAAUUUCAUCUAAAGCUAAAUAUUGGCGAGAGACCGAUAGCGAACAAGUAGCCGUGAGGGAAAGAUGAAAAGAACUUUGAAAAGAGAGUUAAACAGUACGUGAAAUUGUCAAAAGGGAAGCGUUUGACACCAGUGUUGUUUUCUCGAAAAUCAAUUAAAAAUGGCUCGAUUUUGUAUUGUUGAGACCUUAAAAGCUCACUGUACAUUUUUCGUGUCUUUUUUAAUGCACUUUUCGUUUAACAAGUCAACAUCAGUUUCUUUUGUUGUAAAAGGGUCAUUGGAAGGUGGCUUUCUUUCGGAGAAAGUGUUUAUAGCCUUUGGCCUCUGCAAUCGGAGAGACUGAGGUCUGCAGCGUAGACUCUUCGGGGUUAGAUACAUUUGUGCUAAGUUAUAGCUUUUUAUAGACAACUUGUUGACUAUAAUUAGUCUUGUAGCUUACUCGCUUAUGCUAUUUUACCUACGCUUAGGAUGUUGAGUCGUAGAGCACGCAG
This 774-nucleotide ribosomal RNA is filed under the name uncultured Neocallimastigales. RNAcentral describes it as "partial large subunit ribosomal RNA". It matches the Rfam family "Eukaryotic large subunit ribosomal RNA", at positions 23 to 634 of the family's 3401-position model. Lineage: Eukaryota; Fungi; Neocallimastigomycota; Neocallimastigomycetes; Neocallimastigales. The record is from RNAcentral.